Saccostrea cuccullata (small rock oyster) is the source of this 878-nucleotide long non-coding RNA. RefSeq lists it as uncharacterized. Lineage: Eukaryota; Metazoa; Mollusca; Bivalvia; Ostreida; Ostreidae. The transcript has 5 exons. The record is from RefSeq and is a predicted model, not a curated record.
CUUUAAAGAAUUAAAUUCGCUUUCCACCAAAUACGGCCUAGUUAAUUAGUGAAAAAUCAAGUGUUGUUAAUUGAAUUUUUCUGUGUUUCCGUUUCAUCCCUACCACAUACUCGAUUCACAUGUUAUACAAUUUUGAUCAAACAGGAUACUGGUAUUGCACAAUAAAAGUCAAACCUAUGCAUGUAUUUGAUUUUUUCCGGAAUUUCGCCUCCCUUUUGAACUUUGGGGAGAUAUUUCUAAUAUAGCGCAUUCCUCGCUGAUAGAUUUUUAAAGUUUAAAUAAAUAAUGAAAUUCCCCAAAACAAAUUUCCGACAAAAAAGUUAUCAGCGACGUAUGCGCUGUUAUCGAAAUUAAACCGUUUGACAUUUAGCGGGAAGAAGAGAAAUUGUCGUCUGUUCCGUUUAUGAACAGAGUAAAAUACACGGUUGAUGUCUGUGCCUGCUAUAGAUGUUUCCUGAGCUUUAAAUCAUAAGACAAGACUGUGAAACUCUUCAUGACUAUAGUGUGAGAUUCCUUUGUGAUGGUUGUCUGGAAUUGAACCCCUUAAUGAAGACUGAAUUUAGUUGAAAGGUGAAACUCUUCAAGACUAUAGUGUGAGAUUCCUUUGUGAUGGUUGUCUGGAAUUGAACAAGACAUUUAAACAGACCACCCUUAAUGAAGACUUAAUUUUUUUGUGUGGUGAAACUCUUCAAGACUAUAGUGUGAGAUUCCUUUGUGAUGGUUGUUUGGAAUUGAACCCCUUAAUGAAGACUGAAUUUAGUUGAGAGGUGAAAUUCUUCAUGACUAUAGUUUGAGAUUCCUUUGUGAUGGUUCUUUGGAAUUGAACUAGACAUUUAAACAGACUACCCUUUAUGAUGACUUAAUUUAGUUGAAAGGUA